Molecule: RNA transcript, 1509 nt
Organism: Brassica rapa (field mustard)
Lineage: Eukaryota; Viridiplantae; Streptophyta; Magnoliopsida; Brassicales; Brassicaceae
Gene name: signal peptidase complex catalytic subunit SEC11A
Source: RefSeq, a predicted model, not a curated record
GAGAGAUAUCUUUCUUCUUCUUCUUCUCUACCGAAACGCGUGAAGAGGAGUGAGUUUCUGCGGAUCUGAAUCGAAGCAAGGUAGCAAUCAUGGGUUGGAUCGGAGAAACAGUAGACUCGAUCAAAUCAAUCAAGAUCCGUCAGCUUCUCACCCAGGCCAUCACGCUCGGUAUGAUCGUGACGUCUGCAUUGAUAAUAUGGAAGUGUUUGAUGUGUGUGACUGGCACCGAGUCUCCAGUGGUGGUUGUUCUCUCGGGAAGCAUGGAACCUGGCUUUAAGAGAGGGGAUAUAUUGUUCUUGCACAUGACCAAGGAGCCUAUUCGAGCAGGCGAGAUUGUUGUUUUCAAUGUUGAUGGUCGUGACAUUCCCAUUGUCCAUCGUGCCAUCAAAGUUCAUGAGAGGGAAAACACUGGACAUGUUGACGUUCUAACAAAAGGUGACAACAAUGACGUGGAUGACAUCGGUCUCUAUGCUGAUGGACAGUUUUGGCUUCAUAGGCACCAUAUAAUGGGCAGAGCUGUUGGGUUCUUGCCUUAUGUUGGAUGGGUCACUAUUAUCAUGUCAGAGAAGCCUAUCAUCAAGUAUAUACUCAUUGGGGCAUUGGGUUUGCUCGUUAUAACAUCCAAAGACUGAGACAACAUACAAAUAAGCAUGUCUGUGGUCAGGGAAGUGGCUUCUUUAACUGCAACCCUCAUCAUCAUAUUUAUUUAGUCAUGUCCUUAAACCUAAUAACAAAUCAAAUUUUAUAAUUUAUAAAAUUUUGCCUUUAAGUCAGCAAUGAUUUCUUUUGUGACAGUUUCUUUAGCAGCAUUGCCUGUGACUUCCUUCCACUCAAGCGGAUAGCUUGAGUUCUGAAGGGAUGUACUAGUUUUUUCAAUUCCAAACUAGCAGGGCGAUAAGAGUAUACAAUAAACCUGGGUGUAGAAAUCUUAACCAAUAGGCUUAGGUAUUUCCUCAUCGGAAUUUAGAAGGAUUUUAAGUGAUACAUAAAGGGAUAUAUGUGUCAAUCCAUUUAUCACAAAUGAUUAUAAAAUAAAAAUUUAUCUAAUUUAAUAUGAUAUUAGAGUCGAAACGUUUCUCUAAUAUAUCUUCCAAGUAAAAGAUGGUUUACCUUGAUGAGAUUAGGCCAUGAAAGACGAAAUGGUUGGUCUAAGCCAAAGUUACCACACCUGGAAACCAUCUAAUGUUGGGCUUGGUGAGAGUUUAGAAAUCAUAUUUGCAUACAAAAAGGUAAUAAAAACAAUAACAUGGAAAUUCUGUUAAGUCUUCGUAGUAUAUAGAUUCCUAAAAUUUUGACCAAAUGAAAAAAUGAAUGGAUACAAUUAAAACAUUUAUGGAUGUAUUCAGUAGAAUACUUAUCUUCGUACUGAUUGUUUGUAGUGCACAGCGUACAUGACAACUGGAUUGUUUGAUAAUGUUUGUGAUAUAUAUAAUUUGAUAAUGUUUGUGAUAUUACGGCUAAAUUCUUUAUUAGCAUAAAUUCAUUUGUGAUUUUGAUUUUUGUCAUGUA